RNAcentral lists this long non-coding RNA (854 nucleotides) under Homo sapiens (human). RNAcentral's name for it is "non-protein coding SNHG5:45". Lineage: Eukaryota; Metazoa; Chordata; Mammalia; Primates; Hominidae. The record is from RNAcentral.
CUUUUACGUCGGCCUUCGCGAGCGUCUGGGCGGGUGGUAGGUGAGUGGGUAUUGCGGGCUAGUAUCCGAGCAAAAGAUGGUGGCGCAGGCCGAGUUAAGAGCUUUAAUCCUGUGAAGACAUCUUAGUGAAGAGUUUAGAGUGCUGAGAGUUGAAAGCUUGCACGUGGGAAACGUGCGGCCGGACUGCCACAUGUACUGAGGUUGAGUCGUGACGGCCACAGGCUCCGAGUUUUGGCGUGAGGAACCGCUGAUCGGCCACGGGCGCCGAACUUGCUGGCCUCCGGCAUGUGCCUGAGCGGCGGCGGAAAAACCACCUUAAUUGGGGCGGAGGGUUAGUUUUAACAGCAAAGGGCCUUUACUAAAAUGGCGAAGGCCUUCCGUCGGCGUUGUUUUAAAAUGGGAAGCCUCGACCCUGUAUUGAAACUGAGCUGUUCGAAGGCGGCGUUGUGUGCAAUUCGGAUUAAUGAAGGGGAAGGGUUUUGUGUGGAAAAACGCCUUGGAGUGUGACAUUUCUGCGAGAAUGCUUAAAUACCGAUUUCCCGCAGGAACAAUGGCGCUGUCUUCAGUGGCACAGUGGAGCAGCUCUGAAGAUGCAAAGAUACACGAAAAAACUUCCAGAACAUCUGGGAGAAUAUUUAAUGGAAAAUCGCUUGGUUAAAACCUGACACUUUUAACAGUGAGGGUCGCUGUCUGCCCAUUGAUAGAGGCCAGAUUGUCUUGGAAGUUCCAAAGUUGCAACGAUUUCUGGCUAGUGCCACGAGGUUUACUUGACUGUUGUGUGAAAAGCUGAUAAGAAAACCAUCCAGAAAAAAGCUCUUCGUUUUACAAACAUGAAAAUAAAACAUGUAAUUUUG